ACAGCCAUCCAUCCAUUAGUUAGGACUUCAUCCUUGUCAAAUGGACAACCAUAUCAAAUUUCCAUAUCAUCCAAUUUGCACCUAUUUCAGGUGCAUGUACCCUUCAUUUCACAUUUAUUAGAACGUGUACAGUGCCUGAGUGUGCACAGAUUGAAUGUUAACACAAUCUCGUAAGGCCAAGAUAUUUAACUAACUUAGUGCAUAUGCAAGGCUCGACCAUGCUAUUGACAUCCAGAGGUUGUCUGACCGUAUGCUUAUGAAGCCAUUUGCAAGCUUUUUAUUGCAGUAACAGAAGCAUUGCAGUACUAUCCAAAUGCAAAUUCGCUCUGCUACCAGCCCCUUCGAGCGGCAGGUUUAACCCUGACGAUUUCAGUAUAUGUGGUAAAGGGAACCUAUAAAUCACAGCUCCGGAGGUCAUGGUCCAUGCAAGGCAGUGUUGGGAUCAUAAUCGGGGCCAAAAAGUCUAACGACCCUGAUUGCAUGGUUAGGCAGGGGCUUCGCAAGUGAAGGAAGCCAAGCGUUGAUUCCACAAAAUGAAAUGGAAGCUCCUGCCCACUUCAGGUGAAGCAAAUGUAAACGUGUCGGUGACAGAAGCCCGUACCAAUGAGCUCCAACGGCGUGUUCACUGCAAUACCAAUGAGCUCCAACUUUACUGCAUUACCAAAGACGCCGUCAACGCACAGGACGCCUCAACCAGUGAAGUACUUCCGGCGGUUGUGCAAGCCAGGCAGGUCCAUGAACAGAGCCCCGGGUGAGGGCUGAGGAGCGUUGCAAGCCCGAGGGUGGGAGCUUCCGACAGGAUGUGGAGGUUGCAGUCGCUGCUCACAGCCAAGUGAUGGUUGAACUGGACUUCACAGCACUCCACUUCAGUGCAGG
Molecule: long non-coding RNA, 876 nt
Filed under: Physcomitrium patens
Lineage: Eukaryota; Viridiplantae; Streptophyta; Bryopsida; Funariales; Funariaceae
Description: long non-coding RNA (PPAT_LNC015020)
Source: RNAcentral